GUAGGUGGCAAGCGUUGUCCGGAAUUAUUGGGCGUAAAGCGCGCGCAGGGCGGUCCUUUAAGUCUGGGUGUGAAAGCCCACGGGCCCAACCGUGGAGGGUCAUUGGAAACUGGAGGACUUGAGUACAGAAGAGGAAAGCGGAAUUCCACGUGUAGCGGUGAAAUGCGUAGAGAUGUGGAGGAACACCAGUGGCGAAGGCGGCUUUCUGGUCUGUAACUGACGCUGAGGCGCGAAAGCGUGGGGAGCAAACAGGAUUAGAUACCCUGGUAGUCCACGCCGUAAACGAUGAGUGCUAGUGUUAGGGGGUUUCCGCCCCUUAGUGCUGCAGCUAACGCAUUAAGCACUCCGCCUGGGGAGUACGGCCGCAAGGCUG
This 373-nucleotide ribosomal RNA is filed under the name uncultured organism. RNAcentral's name for it is "partial 16S ribosomal RNA". It matches the Rfam family "Bacterial small subunit ribosomal RNA", at positions 527 to 896 of the family's 1533-position model. The record is from RNAcentral.